Molecule: long non-coding RNA, 150 nt
Organism: Triticum aestivum (bread wheat)
Lineage: Eukaryota; Viridiplantae; Streptophyta; Magnoliopsida; Poales; Poaceae
Exons: 3
Source: RefSeq, a predicted model, not a curated record
GACUAAACAAAUACCUGCUAACGAACCGAACCCCCACCAAUAACUAAGAUUGCUCGGGGUUGGAUAAUCUAUCAAAUGUUGGUUAAGUGUGGAGUAUAUAGGUUGUUUAAGAAGAGAGAAUCGUUGGUUCCUUAUAGAGAUUGGAAGAGC